GUUGUUGCAGUUAAAAAGCUCGUAGUUGGAUUUCUGCGCCGCGCAGCUCGGUCCGCCGCAAUGCGGUGCGACUGUGGCUGGAGCGUCGCAUCCUUGUGGAGACCUUUGAUGCCAUUGAUUUGGUGUCUUAUGGGAACCGCAUCGUUUACUGUGAAAAAAUUAGAGUGUUCAAAGCAGGCAUACGCCGUGAAUACAUUAGCAUGGAAUAAUAAGAUAGGACUUUGGUUCUAUUUUGUUGGUCGGAGGCCAAGGUAAUGAUUAAUAGGGAUAGUUGGGGGUAUUCAUAUUUAAUUGUCAGAGGUGAAAUUCUUGGAUUUAUGAAAGAUGAACUUAUGCGAAAGCAUUUACCAAGGAUGUUUUCAUUAAUCAAGAACGAAAGUUAGGGGAUCGAAGAGGAUUAGAUACCCUCGUAGUCUUAACCAUAAACUAUGCCGACUCGGGAUUGGGGGGUGUACAUUCAAAGACCCCCUCAGCACCGUAUGAGAAAUCAAAGUCUUUGGGUUCCGGGGGGAGUAUGGUCGCAAGGCUGAAACUUAAAGGAAUUGACGGAAGGGCACCACCAGGAGUGGAGCCUGCGGCUUAAUUUUGACUCACACGGGGAAACUCACCAGGUCCGGACAUAGUAAGGAUUGACAGAUUGACAGCUCUUUCUUGAUUCUAUGGGUGGUGGUGCAUGGCCGUUC
Molecule: ribosomal RNA, 683 nt
Filed under: uncultured marine eukaryote
Lineage: Eukaryota
Description: SSU rRNA
Rfam family: Eukaryotic small subunit ribosomal RNA
Source: RNAcentral